RNAcentral lists this non-coding RNA (30 nucleotides) under Mus musculus (house mouse). The record is from RNAcentral. Lineage: Eukaryota; Metazoa; Chordata; Mammalia; Rodentia; Muridae.
UCAAAACAAUUCAGGUCUUUCUUGGGAGGC